UUUUCCAGGUGUGCCGAGCCAGCUGCUGAAAGCAUAUUUGCGAACUUCUCCCUCCUACUGACAGAGGACCCGGUGGAGGAACCCGACGUGGUCGACCUCGGCACCGUGUACCAGGAAGAUAGAACCAAGUUCCCUUCGAUAACUGGCAGCGAGGACGAGAAUGAUGAAGACAUAGACUGGGAUGACCACGUGCAUUUCCCUGCCGGGGAGAAGGAAAUCGACAUCUCGAAGAACCUCCGGGACAUCAUCCACCUGGAGAUCACACUGGACGCCUUCUGCAGCAGCACCUGCAAGGGCCUGUGCCUUGUCUGCGGUGCGAACCUCAACACGAGCAGCUGCAGCUGCGGCGCCGAGGAGUCGUCGCAAACCAACGACGCCAGGCAGCCAGGAACUCUCAAAGACCUGCUGAAGCCUAUGCAGAGAAGA
RNAcentral lists this ribosomal RNA (426 nucleotides) under Triticum aestivum (bread wheat). RNAcentral's name for it is "partial small subunit ribosomal RNA". The record is from RNAcentral. Lineage: Eukaryota; Viridiplantae; Streptophyta; Magnoliopsida; Poales; Poaceae.